GAUGAAGAACGCAGCGAAAUGCGAUACUUGGUGUGAAUUGCAGAAUCCCGUGAACCAUCGAGUCUUUGAACGCAAGUUGCGCCCGAAGCCAUUAGGCCGAGGGCACGCCUGCCUAGGUGUCACACGUCGUUGCCCCCCCAUCUACUCCUUCGGGAUUGCGGGGGGCGGAUGAUGGCCUCCCGUGCGCCUCGUCGCGCGGUUGGCAUAAAUGCCAAGUCCUCGGCGACGCACGCCACGACAAUCGGUGGUUGCGAAACCUCGGUUGCCCGUCGUGUGCGGUCGUCGCGCAUCGAGGGCUCGAAAAAAUUGCCGGGCUCCGGCUCGGCUUUCAACGCGACCCCAGGUCAGGCGGGGUUACCCGCUGAAUUUAAGCAUAUCAAAAGCGGAGGA
RNAcentral lists this unclassified non-coding RNA (390 nucleotides) under soil metagenome. Its description in RNAcentral is "partial contains 5.8S ribosomal RNA, internal transcribed spacer 2, and large subunit ribosomal RNA". The stretch from base 1 to 122 matches the Rfam family "5.8S ribosomal RNA", at positions 35 to 154 of the family's 154-position model. The record is from RNAcentral.